This 492-nucleotide ribosomal RNA is filed under the name uncultured bacterium. Its description in RNAcentral is "partial 16S ribosomal RNA". It matches the Rfam family "Bacterial small subunit ribosomal RNA", at positions 29 to 507 of the family's 1533-position model. The record is from RNAcentral.
AGUGAACGCUGGCGGUAGGCCUAACACAUGCAAGUCGAACGGCAGCACAGUAAGAGCUUGCUCUUACGGGUGGCGAGUGGCGGACGGGUGAGGAAUACAUCGGAAUCUACUUUUUCGUGGGGGAUAACGUAGGGAAACUUACGCUAAUACCGCAUACGACCUACGGGUGAAAGCAGGGGAUCUUCGGACCUUGCGCGAUUGAAUGAGCCGAUGUCGGAUUAGCUAGUUGGCGGGAUAAAGGCCCACCAAGGCGACGAUCCGUAGCUGGUCUGAGAGGAUGAUCAGCCACACUGGAACUGAGACACGGUCCAGACUCCUACGGGAGGCAGCAGUGGGGAAUAUUGGACAAAGGGCGCAAGCCUGAUCCAGCCAUACCGCGUGGGUGAAGAAGGCCUUCGGGUUGUAAAGCCCUUUUGUUGGGAAAGAAAAGCAGCAGGUUAAUACCCCGCUGUUCUGACGGUACCCAAAGAAUAAGCACCGGCUAACUUCGUG